This 64-nucleotide transfer RNA is filed under the name Megopis sinica. RNAcentral's name for it is "tRNA-Ser". The record is from RNAcentral. Lineage: Eukaryota; Metazoa; Arthropoda; Insecta; Coleoptera; Cerambycidae.
CAAGGAAUAGUUUAAUAAAAAUUUUAGUUUUGGAGAUUAAAGAUGAGGGCUUCCUUUUCCUUGA